RNAcentral lists this ribosomal RNA (495 nucleotides) under uncultured bacterium. RNAcentral's name for it is "partial 16S ribosomal RNA". It matches the Rfam family "Bacterial small subunit ribosomal RNA", at positions 28 to 507 of the family's 1533-position model. The record is from RNAcentral.
GAUGAACGCUGGCGGCGUGCCUAAUACAUGCAAGUAGAACGCUGAAGGAGGAGCUUGCUCUUCUGGAUGAGUUGCGAACGGGUGAGUAACGCGUAGGUAACCUGCCUGUUAGCGGGGGAUAACUAUUGGAAACGAUAGCUAAUACCGCAUGACAACAGUUAUUGCAUGAUAACUGUUUAAAAGGGGCAACUGCUCCACUACCAGAUGGACCUGCGUUGUAUUAGCUAGUUGGUGAGGUAACGGCUCACCAAGGCGACGAUACAUAGCCGACCUGAGAGGGUGAUCGGCCACACUGGGACUGAGACACGGCCCAGACUCCUACGGGAGGCAGCAGUAGGGAAUCUUCGGCAAUGGACGGAAGUCUGACCGAGCAACGCCGCGUGAGUGAAGAAGGUUUUCGGAUCGUAAAGCUCUGUUGUAAGAGAAGAACGAGUGUGAGAGUGGAAAGUUCACACUGUGACGGUAUCUUACCAGAAAGGGACGGCUAACUACGUG